RNAcentral lists this ribosomal RNA (852 nucleotides) under uncultured bacterium. RNAcentral's name for it is "bacterial SSU rRNA". It matches the Rfam family "Bacterial small subunit ribosomal RNA", at positions 28 to 897 of the family's 1533-position model. The record is from RNAcentral.
GAUGAACGCUGGCGGCGUGCUUAAUACAUGCAAGUCGAACGGAGACAGUAGCAAUAUUGUCUUAGUGGCGAACGGGUGAGUAACGCGUUGGUGACCUGCCCCGAAGCGGGGGAUAACAGUCCGAAAGGAUUGCUAAUACCCCAUGUGGUCGUUUGGAUUAGAUGCCUUACGACUAAACGGAUUUAUUCGCUUCGGGAGGGGCCUGCGUCCCAUCAGCUAGUUGGUAAGGUAAUGGCCUACCAAGGCGAUGACGGGUAGGGGACCUGAGAGGGUGGCCCCCCACAAUGGAACUGAAACACGGUCCAUACACCUACGGGUGGCAGCAGUAGGGAAUAUUGGUAAUCUGGGAAACCGGGAACCAGCAACGCCGCGUGCGCGAUGAAGGCCUUCGGGUUGUAAAGCGCUUUUUGAGGGGAUGAGGAAGGACAGUACCCUCAGAAUAAGCCUCGGCUAACUACGUGCCAGCAGCCGCGGUAAAACGUAGGAGGCGAGCGUUAUCCGGAUUUACUGGGCGUAAAGCGUGUGUAGGCGGUUUGAUAAGUUGGAUGUGAAAGCUCCCGGCUUAACUGGGAGAGGUCGUUCAAAACUAUCAGACUCGAGAGUGGUAGAGGGAGGUGGAAUUCCGCGUGUAGUGGUGAAAUGCGUAGAUAUGCGGAGGAACACCAGUGGCGAAAGCGGCCUCCUGGCCCAUUUCUGACGCUCAGACACGAAAGCUAAGGUAGCAAACGGGAUUAGAGACCCCGGUAGUCUUAGCUGUAAACGAUGUGAACUUAGUGUCGGUGGGGUUAAAUCCAUCGGUACUGAAGCAAACGCGAUAAGUUCACCGCCUGGGGACUACGGCCGCAAGGUUAA